RNAcentral lists this transfer RNA (84 nucleotides) under Ureaplasma diversum. RNAcentral's name for it is "tRNA-Leu (TAG) (tRNA-Leu-TAG-1-1)". It matches the Rfam family "tRNA". From Rfam's summary of the family: Transfer RNA (tRNA) molecules are approximately 80 nucleotides in length. RNAcentral also lists the same sequence under 1 other name. The record is from RNAcentral. Lineage: Bacteria; Bacillati; Mycoplasmatota; Mycoplasmoidales; Mycoplasmoidaceae.
GCACUCGUGGUGGAAUGGUAGACACGCUAGACUUAGGAUCUAGUGCUUAAUCGCAUAAGAGUUCAAGUCUCUUCGAGUGCACCA